GUGGGGAAUAUUGCACAAUGGGGGAAACCCUGAUGCAGCAACGCCGCGUGAGUGAAGAAGUAUUUCGGUAUGUAAAGCUCUAUCAGCAGGGAAGAAAAUGACGGUACCUGACUAAGAAGCCCCGGCUAACUACGUGCCAGCAGCCGCGGUAAUACGUAGGGGGCAAGCGUUAUCCGGAUUUACUGGGUGUAAAGGGAGCGUAGACGGCAGCGCAAGUCUGAAGUGAAAGCCCGGGGCUCAACCCCGGAAUGGCUUUGGAAACUGCGCGGCUAGAGUACCGGAGGGGUAAGCGGAAUUCCUAGUGUAGCGGUGAAAUGCGUAGAUAUUAGGAGGAACACCAGUGGCGAAGGCGGCUUACUGGACGGUAACUGACGUUGAGGCUCGAAAGCGUGGGGAGCAAACAGGAUUAGAAACCCGUGUAGUCC
Molecule: ribosomal RNA, 425 nt
Filed under: uncultured bacterium
Lineage: Bacteria
Description: bacterial SSU rRNA
Rfam family: Bacterial small subunit ribosomal RNA
Source: RNAcentral